ACAACACUUUUACCGUCGCAACCAUUUUAUGCACUCUCGGAGUUUGAAGAGUUUGAUGCAAAACUUUCAACUGAUCAUGCAAUUAAAGCUGCAUUCAAAAAAAUGAUUCUGAGAAUUGGUGGCGAAUCUGAAACGUUUUUCCUUAAAAUGGCCAUUAGGAGCAUUAUUUCGGAUGAAUUAGCAAUGGGUUUGUCUUGGCGCGGUACGGUUGACAAACCAAGUAUCCAAAAAUACAACACAUUUGCUAUUAUAAAAGAUAUUUGCUUUUCUAAGUUUUGCAAUGUGACCGACGUUGACAUCAACAAAACUUGCCAACAACAUUUUCUUCACGCAAAGGGCAGAGUAUUGAAAAGGCAAAAAAGGAACUACCUAAAUUAAAUGUGUAUAUUAUUUAUUACUAGCUUUUUUUUAUAAUUUUGUUAUAAGUUUUUAUUUAUCUUUAAAUUAGUGUGUAAUAAACUUAAAUACAAAUAAACUUAGUUAAAAAUACCGAAUCAGAGGAAACAG
This 507-nucleotide long non-coding RNA is filed under the name Rhagoletis pomonella (apple maggot). RNAcentral describes it as "uncharacterized LOC118757481". Lineage: Eukaryota; Metazoa; Arthropoda; Insecta; Diptera; Tephritidae. The record is from RNAcentral.